Molecule: unclassified non-coding RNA, 439 nt
Filed under: Hevea brasiliensis (rubber tree)
Lineage: Eukaryota; Viridiplantae; Streptophyta; Magnoliopsida; Malpighiales; Euphorbiaceae
Source: RNAcentral
GAAGCCCUUGAAUAUUUUAGAAAGGUAAUUGCCAUGGUCUUCCAAAUCUGUUUACUAGAAUACUAAGAGGUAUCCAGCAUUCUUUUUAUCGUCCUCAAUUCCUAAUCCAAGCCAUACCUUGUUAUGCUGGAAAGGGUAUGUAAAUUCAUCUGCUUCGUCACAUAAUCAGACCUGUGUUCUUUUUAACUGUCACUGCCAUGCAUUUGUAUGAAAACCCAUCAAACAUCCAUCUUCUAAAACUUAUUGUCUGGGAUCUUGGUUAAGUUCGGGUGAUUAGAACAAUUCAGGACUAUAGAUUCUGUGUGCCAAUUGUGGAUUUUUAUGGUUUUUGUUGAGAUCCAUCUCUUUGUUACUAAAUAUUGGUGCUUUUCUUAACAAUCUGAUGACCAUAGUUUACAAAUAGAGCAUGACUUUAUGGCUGAACUGCUAAAAUUAAAAU